Molecule: long non-coding RNA, 295 nt
Filed under: Olea europaea (common olive)
Lineage: Eukaryota; Viridiplantae; Streptophyta; Magnoliopsida; Lamiales; Oleaceae
Description: long non-coding RNA (OEUR_LNC009805)
Source: RNAcentral
AAAGUCCUACUCUUUUUCUCUUAGCUUUGAAACUUUUUCACCUAGAUCACGGACAGCGAUCGCCAUUUUUCGUUGCCAAAGCUGGUCUUCGCUCUCCCAUAGCCAAUUAGUGGUGAAUCUCCUUCAAUUUUUGCAAGAGUCGUGUUGAAAUGAUAGCUGUUGACGGUCAGUUCUUCACUUGUUUUGUUGUUCGUAAAUCUUAUUUUGCCAUUUUUCUCACUUGAAGCAUUUUACUUGCUGUAUAGCAACUAUAAUGACACCACACACAACCUUUCACUCAUGAAUCAAUUCAUCA